RNAcentral lists this ribosomal RNA (255 nucleotides) under uncultured bacterium. RNAcentral describes it as "partial 16S ribosomal RNA". It matches the Rfam family "Bacterial small subunit ribosomal RNA", at positions 524 to 776 of the family's 1533-position model. The record is from RNAcentral.
UACAGAGGCCUCGAGCGUUAAUCGGAGUCACUGGGCUUAAAGGGUGCGUAGGCGGGCCCGCAAGUGUCUUGUGAAAUCCCACGGCUCAACCGUGGAAUGGCUCGACAGACUGCGGGUCUUGAGGUCGGUAGGGGUCGCUGGAACUCUAGGUGGAGCGGUGAAAUGCGUAGAUAUCUAGAGGAACGCCAAAGGUGAAGACAAGCGACUGGGCCGAUUCUGACGCUGAGGCACGAAAAGCGUGGGGGAGCGAACAGG